Peromyscus eremicus (cactus mouse) is the source of this 184-nucleotide long non-coding RNA. RefSeq lists it as uncharacterized. The transcript is spliced from 3 exons. NCBI's taxonomy places the organism in Eukaryota, Metazoa, Chordata, Mammalia, Rodentia, Cricetidae. The record is from RefSeq and is a predicted model, not a curated record.
AGCCACCUCACUACCACAGUAGGUCCUUCUGGAGAGGAGACCAUGAGGUAGCUGGUGUCCUAUCCCAUGUCCCCAACCCUGGCAGUCAGCGUGGCCCAGAUCUUUGCAGGAUAUCCUCCUCCGACUCAUGGUGAAAAAUCCUGCAACAGUUAUACGAACAGGAAGUGGAACCCAUGAACUAGUC